RNAcentral lists this ribosomal RNA (513 nucleotides) under Microbacterium sp. SKU 9. Its description in RNAcentral is "bacterial SSU rRNA". It matches the Rfam family "Bacterial small subunit ribosomal RNA", at positions 533 to 1046 of the family's 1533-position model. The record is from RNAcentral. Lineage: Bacteria; Bacillati; Actinomycetota; Actinomycetes; Micrococcales; Microbacteriaceae.
GCGGAGCGCUAUCGGGAUUAUUGGGCGUAAGAGCUCGUAGGCGGUUUGUCGCGUCUGCUGUGAAAUCCCGAGGCUCAACUUCGGGUCUGCAGUGGGUACGGGCAGACUAGAGUGCGGUAGGGGAGAUUGGAAUUCCUGGUGUAGCGGUGGAAUGCGCAGAUAUCAGGAGGAACACCGAUGGCGAAGGCAGAUCUCUGGGCCGUAACUGACGCUGAGGAGCGAAAGGGUGGGGAGCAAACAGGCUUAGAUACCCUGGUAGUCCACCCCGUAAACGUUGGGAACUAGUUGUGGGGUCCAUUCCACGGAUUCCGUGACGCAGCUAACGCAUUAAGUUCCCCGCCUGGGGAGUACGGCCGCAAGGCUAAAACUCAAAGGAAUUGACGGGGACCCGCACAAGCGGCGGAGCAUGCGGAUUAAUUCGAUGCAACGCGAAGAACCUUACCAAGGCUUGACAUAUACGAGAACGGGCCAGAAAUGGUCAACUCUUUGGACACUCGUAAACAGGUGGUGCAU